AGCGUGCAGGGAAGACAGCGUGCUGCCAGAGGGACAGGGGCAGACCGUGGACCAAGAAGGAGACGGAGCAACCCGCAUGGGCGGGCCUCAUCACCCACAGGCUAAUCUGGAAAGGCCGGGGCAUUAGCACGGGAACAGGCACAGCUGGAAAGGCCGCGGCAAAUUGCCAGGACCUGAGCUGAGCCGGGUCAGGUCGAUGUCCUCGGGCGCACCCAGCGGCUGCAGCGAGAAGCUCUGCAGGAUGGCGGUGAGAGACUGAGUCUUACUAUAUUGUCCAGGCUGGUCUCGAACUCCUGGACUCAUGCGAUCCUCCUGCCUCGGCUGCUGGGAUUACAAGGGUCCUGGGGACCCCACACCCCGUCCCUGCUGGACUCAGUUGGCUGACCUCGCCCCAGGGGCUGCUCAUGAUUUGGAAGUUGUCAUUGAUAAGGCGGAUACUGGUGAGCAGACGCUCAUCAUCGCAGUGGAAGCAGCUGCGGAAGAGCACGGAACAGAUAAUGUUGGACACUGAGUGACUCAGCACAAACGUGGGGUCAAAGGGCUCGCCUGAGGGUGGGGAAUGGAAUGGAUCAGGAAGACGCGAUGUGCAACCAACCGGACCUCAUGCAGCAACACCAUUAAUUUGCACAACAUCCGACUCAAGCAUGGCAACGUGUCUUGCGGUGCAGAGCACAGGCACAUGGUCACAACAUGCUGCUUAACAACACCCCAAAAGCAUGUGUCAAUGCCACAGACAGCACAGAACCCACAACUUCCUGCAGCACAUCGACAGCAACAAUACCCACCACAGAACCGGCUAUUCUUGGCAACACAACACACAACACGCAACAUAGCACAAGGCAAUCAUCAGGCAUCACGGAACACAACAACACAGGGCAACAGAACACCCAGCGAAUAGGAUCACAGUAGAUGCUAACACUGGACACUCGGUGAUCUAACAACCAGCCCGAAAAAAUCCCAAGACACGGUAACCACACACUAACACAUCAUGCCAGCAUACAGCUCCAUAAUCCUGCCACACAACACACACUAGUACACAGCAACCCAGCAGACAGCACCGAACGCACGAUGUGACAUCACAACACAUACAAUCAAGGCAGCAGAACAAAGGACACACUAUGCAGCAACGCAACAAUGUUGGCAGCCAGCAGAUGACACAACGCAAAACCACAUGCAGCGCCUGACAACUCUACAAUCUCACCCAGAAAUAACACAACACCUAGCAUCUGGCCGUCCGACAGCUGAACAGACCAUAGUAAAUACCGAACAGCACAUUUCUUUCUUUCUUUUUUUUUUGAGACGAAGUCUCGCUCCACCACCCAUGCUGUAGUGCAGUGGCACGAUCUCGGUUCACUGCAACCUCUGCCUCCUGGGUUCAAGCAAUUCUCCUGCCUCAGGCUCACAAGGAGCUGAGAUCACACCC
Molecule: long non-coding RNA, 1423 nt
Filed under: Macaca fascicularis (crab-eating macaque)
Lineage: Eukaryota; Metazoa; Chordata; Mammalia; Primates; Cercopithecidae
Description: lncRNA (ENSMFAG00000060252.1)
Source: RNAcentral